ACGAACGCUGGCGGCGUGCUUAACACAUGCAAGUCGAACGGUGAAGCGCCUUCCUUUUUGGUGGGUGUGGAUGAGUGGCGAACGGGUGAGUAACACGUGAGUAACCUGCCCCCUUCUUCUGGAUAACCGCAUGAAAGUGUGGCUAAUACGGGAUAUUCUGGGUCUGUCGCAUGAUGGGUCUGGGAAAGAUAUUGUUUCGGUGGGGGAUGGGCUCGCGGCCUAUCAGCUUGUUGGUGGGGUGAUGGCCUACCAAGGCGGUGACGGGUAGCCGGCCUGAGAGGGUGGACGGUCACACUGGGACUGAGACACGGCCCAGACUCCUACGGGAGGCAGCAGUGGGGAAUAUUGCACAAUGGGCGCAAGCCUGAUGCAGCGACGCCGCGUGAGGGAUGGAGGCCUUCGGGUUGUGAACCUCUUUCGCCAGUGAAGCAGGCCUGCCUCGUUUGUGGGUGGGUCGACGGUAGCUGGAUAAGAAGCGCCGGCUAACUACGUG
This 493-nucleotide ribosomal RNA is filed under the name uncultured bacterium. Its description in RNAcentral is "partial 16S ribosomal RNA". It matches the Rfam family "Bacterial small subunit ribosomal RNA", at positions 29 to 507 of the family's 1533-position model. The record is from RNAcentral.